Molecule: long non-coding RNA, 505 nt
Filed under: Homo sapiens (human)
Lineage: Eukaryota; Metazoa; Chordata; Mammalia; Primates; Hominidae
Description: non-protein coding lnc-C10orf113-3:3
Source: RNAcentral
CUGCACUUCAGCCUGGGUGACAGAGCAAGACCCUGUCUUAAAUAAAUAAAUAAGUCUCUUUGUUGAAUUGAUUCAUAGUAUUCUAUUUUUUGUUCUCUGAAAUGAUAGGUUUAUUACAGAGGUCAGCUGGGAAGAGCUACCACUUUAAGUGUAACUCCUGAAAUGGAAAGAGUGAAGAAGAAUCAAGAAAAUAUUAGCUCGGUAAAAUAUACCCAGGACCAUAAACAGAUGAAAGGUAGACCAAGUCUGAUUUUAGAUACACCUGCUAUGAGACAUGUUAAAGAAGCACAAAAUCAUAUUUCAAUGGUAGGGUCCAACCAGAUCAUUCUUAAAACAUGCUAAGGAAUGGGCGGAUCCAGUGCACGGAUGGCAUUACUUCACUAUUAAUCCGAUAACUAACAAAGCAUGGAAAUGUGGUUGGCUUGUCUUUUGAGGGAGGGGCAUUUCUAAUCACACUGAAAUGCAGUGGAAACAUUUAGUCUAAUAAAAUGAUUUUUCUCAGUGA